Molecule: ribosomal RNA, 253 nt
Filed under: uncultured bacterium
Lineage: Bacteria
Description: partial 16S ribosomal RNA
Rfam family: Bacterial small subunit ribosomal RNA
Source: RNAcentral
UACGGGGGGGGCAAGCGUUGUUCGGAAUUACUGGGCGUAAAGGGCUCGUAGGCGGCCAACUAAGUCAGACGUGAAAUCCCUCGGCUCAACCGGGGAACUGCGUCUGAGACUGGCGAGCUCGAGUGCAGGAGAGGAACGCGGAAUUCCAGGUGUAGCGGUGAAAUGCGUAGAUAUCUGGAGGAACACCGGUGGCGAAGGCGGCGUUCUGGACUGCAACUGACACUGAAAAACGAAAGCCAGGGGAGCAAACGGG